RNAcentral lists this ribosomal RNA (503 nucleotides) under uncultured bacterium. RNAcentral describes it as "partial 16S ribosomal RNA". It matches the Rfam family "Bacterial small subunit ribosomal RNA", at positions 28 to 523 of the family's 1533-position model. The record is from RNAcentral.
GAUGAACGCUAGCGGCAGGCUUAAUACAUGCAAGUCGAGGGGCAGCAGCUUUGUAGCAAUACAGAAGCUGGCGACCGGCAAACGGGUGCGGAACACGCACGCAACCUUCCUUUAACUGGAAGAUAGCCCACCGAAAGGUGGAUUAAUACUCCAUAACAUAUUGAAGAGGCAUCUCUUUGAUAUUAAAGCUCCGGCGGUUAAAGAUGGGCGUGCGUCUGAUUAGGUAGUUGGCGGGGUAACGGCCCACCAAGCCUUCGAUCAGUAGCUGAUGUGAGAGCAUGAUCAGCCACACGGGCACUGAGACACGGGCCCGACUCCUGCGGGAGGCAGCAGUAAGGAAUAUUGGUCAAUGGACGCAAGUCUGAACCAGCCAUGCCGCGUGGAGGAUGAAGGCCCUCUGGGUUGAAAACUUCUUUUCUUUGGGACGAAACCCCUGUUUCUACGGGGACUGACGGUACCAGAGGAAUAAGCACCGGCUAACUCCGUGCCAGCCGCCGCCGUAA